Long non-coding RNA from Triplophysa rosa, 1688 nucleotides. RefSeq lists it as uncharacterized. The transcript is spliced from 4 exons. Lineage: Eukaryota; Metazoa; Chordata; Actinopteri; Cypriniformes; Nemacheilidae. The record is from RefSeq and is a predicted model, not a curated record.
UGAACUUAAACUGUAUUUCUCAGGUCAAGUCGUCCAUUAAAGUGGAGUGAUCACAGAAAAGAAUGAAUUUGGCGAUAGGCCCGUGUGGGAGGAAAAAGACUCGUCUUUGGUGGGUCAGCUGGUGGAGCACUCUCACUGGUCAUGAGGAGAGAAUCACUACAGGUGAGGCAUCAGAAAGUUUGUCAGUGUUUUAUGAGAUAAAAGUUCCUGUGAGAAUGGCAUUGUGUGUUUUUACUUUCACGGAGAAACCUGUAGGAUCUGUGGUGCGAAAGGCAGCCGGUUACAUCAUCGCGGAAUGAAUGCGCUUUGCGUUUGUUGACCGGGUCAUGCACUCCAUUACAACAGCUGCUCAGCUGGACAAGGAAAAGCCCAACGCUCGCUUCAGUGAUGGAAAAGUAGAUGCAGCUGGGAGGUUCUUUGCAGGAAUAUAUUCAGAAAACACAAUAUAUUUGGUGUCCGGGUACCAUGGGAAUAGAACUGCCUCUGUACACGCUUUAUCCUGACCGUUCAUCAUUCAGACCAGGUGGACAUCUCCCACAGUUUGGACUGGUCACUGGAUCACCGCAUCUUUUACCACAUCGACAGCCUGCCUUUACGUGCCGUACAUGACUACGACAUCCAGACUGGAUGUCCAUACUGUAUUUUCAGUAUGUGUGUGUGUGUGUGUGUGUGUGUGUGUGUGUGUGUGUGUGUGUGUGUGUGUGUGUGUGUGUGUGUGUGUGUUAAGCUGACCGCAGAGGGGUUUACAGGGUAGAACCGAUGAAGAUAUACCAGACGGCUUGUGCAUAGACCCAGAGGGCAUCUGUGGGUCGCCUGCUACAAUGGAGGAAGAGGAAUAGAUUUGCACAUUGACCCACAAACAGGUUUAUCCUGACCGACUGCAGACUGUGAAACUGCCAGGAGAAGACCACCUCAUGUUGUUUAGGUGGGAAGGAUCACGCUGAUCUGUUACUGGUGUAGGAGUGACGGGCAUUCCAUCAUUCUCAUAUACUGGAUAAAAACCACGAAGACAGCGAUGAUGCUUAUUAAACCCUCACAAUUUUUCUGUCAAAACAACAUUGACAUUUUACCACCGUUCUAACUGUGCAGCCCAAUGCACGCUUAGGAUAGAAGAAAAUCUUUGUUUCAUGGUAUUAGACAUUGGAAAAUAUUUGCCUUAAACUGAUUUGAUAGACCGGAACUGUUCAUUUACCUGGUCGACAGUGACUUUCAGGCUCUUUAAAACAACUUUUGGCGUCUUUCAAUAUGCGGUGACAAAUUUCUAUGAGUGUUUGUUAGCUAGGAAAUUAAUUUAAAAUGUUGCAUUUAUAGCCUAAUAUUGCUUUUAUCCAAAGUAUGCAUUAUUAAUAUUAGUGUCAGUAUUUUUUGGGAGUCUUUAUCGUUUAAUUUAAGACAUUAUUUGAUUUGCAUAUUGUUAGAACUGUGCUUUUGUGGUUCAGCAUUAUUUUGCAUAAUUUUAAUUCCUGUGUAAAUGCAUUUAUGACGCGUUAGAGCCGCAUUAACGGUCAGUGUAAAUCCACAUUUUCGUGGUUUUAUGCCGCUUCAGAUUCGGUUUCUGUGCCGCCUUUGCUGUGUGAAGAGGCCAUUAUAGUCAGUGUGGAAAGAGUUAUGUUAAUUGAUAUUGUUUUGAUAGUUAUACGUAUUAUUAAAAAGAAGAAUGUAUUUUUGCAAAGAAUAAUAAAAUUGAG